Small nucleolar RNA from Megalobrama amblycephala (Wuchang bream), 77 nucleotides. RefSeq annotates it as small nucleolar RNA SNORD103/SNORD85. The transcript has a single exon. The record is from RefSeq and is a predicted model, not a curated record. Lineage: Eukaryota; Metazoa; Chordata; Actinopteri; Cypriniformes; Xenocyprididae.
GUUGGCUAUGAUGACAAACUUGCCCUCUCUGAGAGAGCAGCUCUAUUAUGACAAUCAAGUUAACGUUCUGAGCCAGC